RNAcentral lists this ribosomal RNA (1511 nucleotides) under fermentation metagenome. Its description in RNAcentral is "bacterial LSU rRNA". It matches the Rfam family "Bacterial large subunit ribosomal RNA", at positions 488 to 1999 of the family's 2925-position model. The record is from RNAcentral.
UAGUGAACCAGUACCGUGAGGGAAAGGUGAAAAGAACCCCGGAAGGGGAGUGAAAAAGAACCUGAAACCGUGUGUCUACAAAUAGUCAAAGCACAUUAAAGUGCGAUGGCGUGCCUUUUGUAGAAUGAACCGGCGAGUUACGUUAAUUAGCGAGGUUAAAUCAGAAAAGAUGGAGCCGGAGCGAAAGCGAGUCUGAAGAGGGCGAGAUAGUUAGUUGAUGUAGACCCGAAACCAAGUGACCUAUCCAUGAUCAGGUUGAAGGUGUGGUAAAACGCACUGGAGGACCGAACCCGUGUAAGUUAAAAAUUGCUGGGAUGAAUUGUGGAUAGCGGUGAAAUUCCAAACGAACUUGGAGAUAGCUGGUUCUCUCCGAAAUAGCUUUAGGGCUAGCCUCGAAGAAAGGAUAAUGGAGGUAGAGCUCUGUUUGGACGAAGGGCCCGUCAGGGGUUACUGAAUCCAGAUAAACUGCGAAUACCAUGUAUCUAUCUUCGGGAGUCAGACUGCGAGUGAUAAGAUCCGUAGUCGAAAGGGAAACAGCCCAGAUCACCAGUUAAGGUCCCAAAAUCUAUGCUAAGUGGAAAAGGAUGUGGAGUUGCGUAGACAACUAGGAUGUUGGCUCAGAAGCAGCCAUCAUUGAAAGAGUGCGUAAUAGCUCACUAGUCGAGUGACGCUGCGCCGAAAAUUUACCGGGGCUAAGCAUAGUACCGAAACUGUGGAUGUAGUGGAAGACACUACGUGAUAGGAGAGCGUUCUAAAGGCGGUGAAGUUUGACCGUGAGGACAAAUGGAGCUUUUAGAAGUGAGAAUGCCGGUAUGAGUAACGAAAGAUAGGUGAGAAUCCUAUCCACCGAAUGACUAAGGUUUCCUGGGGCAGGUUCGUCCGCCCAGGGUAAGUCGGGACCUAAGACAAGGCCGAGAGGCGUAGCCGAUGGGGAACAGGUAGAGAUUCCUGUACUGCAUUUAAUCGUUACGAGCAAAGGAGCGACGCAGGAGAUAAAGAACGCAUGGUGCUGGAAAUCCAUGUUUAAGCGUUAAGUAUGAGAAUGAGUGAAAUGCUUAUUUUCGUGAAGUACGAGGCGUGAUAAGGAGCGAAAUUAAAGUAGCGAAGGUUCUAUAGUCACACUGCCAAGAAAAACUUCUAGCCAGAGAGAAUGUACCCGUACCGUAAACCGACACAGGUAGUCGAGUAGAAAAUACUAAGGUGAGCGAGAGAACUCUCGUUAAGGAACUCGGCAAAAAGACCCCGUAACUUCGGAAGAAGGGGUGCUGACUAGAGAUAGUCAGCCGCAGUGAAUAGGCCCAAACAACUGUUUAUCAAAAACACAGGUCUUUGCAAAAUCGUAAGACGACGUAUAAGGGCUGACACCUGCCCGGUGCUGGAAGGUUAAGAAGAGAGCUUAGUGCUUAAAGCACGAAGGUUUGAAUUGAAGCCCCAGUAAACGGCGGCCGUAACUAUAACGGUCCUAAGGUAGCGAAAUUCCUUGUCGGGUAAGUUCCGACCUGCACGAAAGG